GACGAACGCUGGCGGCGUGCUUAACACAUGCAAGUCGAACGCUGAAGCUUGGUGCUUGCACUGGGUGGAUGAGUGGCGAACGGGUGAGUAAUACGUGAGUAACCUGCCCUUGACUCUGGGAUAAGCCUGGGAAACUGGGUCUAAUACUGGAUACGACAUGCCACUGCAUGGUGGUGUGUGGAAAGGGUUUUACUGGUUUUGGAUGGGCUCACGGCCUAUCAGCUUGUUGGUGGGGUAAUGGCCUACCAAGGCGACGACGGGUAGCCGGCCCGAGAGGGUGACCGGCCACACUGGGACUGAGACACGGCCCAGACUCCUACGGGAGGCAGCAGUGGGGAAUAUUGCACAAUGGGCGGAAGCCUGAUGCAGCGACGCCGCGUGAGGGAUGACGGCCUUCGGGUUGUAAACCUCUUUCAGCACGGAAGAAGCGAGAGUGACGGUACGUGCAGAAGAAGCGCCGGCUAACUACGUG
Molecule: ribosomal RNA, 472 nt
Filed under: uncultured bacterium
Lineage: Bacteria
Description: partial 16S ribosomal RNA
Rfam family: Bacterial small subunit ribosomal RNA
Source: RNAcentral